AGUGAACGCUGGCGGUAGGCCUAACACAUGCAAGUCGAACGGCAGCACAGUAAGAGCUUGCUCUUACGGGUUGCGAGUGGCGGACGUGUGAGGAAUACAUCGGAAUCUACUUUUUCGUGGGGGAUAACGUAGGGAAACUUACGCUAAUACCGCAUACGACCUACGGGUGAAAGCAUGGGAUCUUCGGACCUUGCGCGAUUGAAUGAGCCGAUGUCGGAUUAGCUAGUUGGCGGGGUAAAGGCCCACCAAGGCGACGAUCCGUAGCUGGUCUGAGAGGAUGAUCAGCCACACUGGAACUGAGACACGGUCCAGACUCCUACGGGAGGCAGCAGUGGGGAAUAUUGGACAAUGGGCGCAAGCCUGAUCCAGCCAUACCGCGUGGGUGAAGAAGGCCUUCGGGUUGUAAAGCCCUUUUGUUGGGAAAGAAAAGCAGCAGGUUAAUACCCCGCUGUUCUGACGGUACCCAAAGAAUAAGCACCGGCUAACUUCGUG
Molecule: ribosomal RNA, 492 nt
Filed under: uncultured bacterium
Lineage: Bacteria
Description: partial 16S ribosomal RNA
Rfam family: Bacterial small subunit ribosomal RNA
Source: RNAcentral